AAUAUCUUAUAAUUACCCUAGCUCAAGUUAUAAUUACUGCAUUUACAUCUUACUUUUUUUCGGGACUUGGGGAAUGUGGGAUCUUGGGUUGCUAAUUUGAUUCAUGAAAGCGAUUGCAAGCUGUUCAUUUUUAAUACUCAGCAUUCCACAAGCCUUUUGUUGAGUUUUUGUAGGUAGAUAGGAUGGCAGGUGGGACCCAACUAGCAUCCUAAUCUUCUUGCUUUAACGUACUAGGAUCUAAGGGUGCAAACCAAGGUCAAAUGUGAGGUUGUUGGCAACAGUAUUAGCAGAUUCAGUGUUGGCUGGUGAAAGGUCUUUGAUGUCUGCCAUUUCAGCAGUGUUGCUUGAUAAGCUCUACAAGAAAUACUUAAUUAAAAUGAAGCGUAAAAGAAAGCUGAUUAAGGAGAUGCAUAUUUUCAUAAUGUGUCUAAAUAGGAAGACCUCGGGUUGACUAUUCCAAGCCUGAGAAAGCCAUUUCCAUCAAUAAAAAGGUUGCCUGUGGGCGCUGUUGCUGGGUCCAUUUCAGGUGUGGCUUUUGAUACAAGUCUAUUAUCGUUUAUGAUUUUUUGAAGAAGAAGGAUAUUGAUUUAAAAAAAAAGAAUGGAGGGAGCAUUGGUGGCAUUUGUUUACAAAGAUUUACAACUAGCUACAACUUCAGUACGCAUUACUGCAUUAGAGACUCUCUAGAGCCAUUAGCCCAUUAGCCAAUGUGUAAGAAUCUACAUUAACAAAUCGUCAUAUUCUACAAUUGUUUAUUUAAUCUUUGUUUAAUCAAAUUGUAGCUUUUCAAUUGUAAAUAAGAUUUGAUACUUU
Long non-coding RNA from Erigeron canadensis, 813 nucleotides. RefSeq lists it as uncharacterized. The transcript is spliced from 4 exons. The record is from RefSeq and is a predicted model, not a curated record. Lineage: Eukaryota; Viridiplantae; Streptophyta; Magnoliopsida; Asterales; Asteraceae.